Molecule: ribosomal RNA, 486 nt
Filed under: uncultured bacterium
Lineage: Bacteria
Description: partial 16S ribosomal RNA
Rfam family: Bacterial small subunit ribosomal RNA
Source: RNAcentral
AUUGAACGCUGGCGGCAUGCCUUACACAUGCAAGUCGAACGGCAGCACGGGUGCUUGCACCUGGUGGCGAGUGGCGAACGGGUGAGUAAUACAUCGGAACAUGUCCUGUAGUGGGGGAUAGCCCGGCGAAAGCCGGAUUAAUACCGCAUACGAUCUACGGAUGAAAGCGGGGGCCCUUCGGGCCUCGCGCUAUAGGGUUGGCCGAUGGCUGAUUAGCUAGUUGGUGGGGUAAAGGCCUACCAAGGCGACGAUCAGUAGCUGGUCUGAGAGGACGACCAGCCACACUGGGACUGAGACACGGCCCAGACUCCUACGGGAGGCAGCAGUGGGGAAUUUUGGACAAUGGGCGAAAGCCUGAUCCAGCAAUGCCGCGUGUGUGAAGAAGGCCUUCGGGUUGUAAAGCACUUUUGUCCGGAAAGAAAGCCUUGGCCCUAAUACGGUCGGGGGAUGACGGUACCGGAAGAAUAAGCACCGGCUAACUACGUG